Molecule: long non-coding RNA, 466 nt
Filed under: Hordeum vulgare
Lineage: Eukaryota; Viridiplantae; Streptophyta; Magnoliopsida; Poales; Poaceae
Description: long non-coding RNA (HVUL_LNC005001)
Source: RNAcentral
GCAAAAGCUUGUGUCUAGGCAAAGGAUCGCACGUUGUACCUUAUGACCUUAUCUGUAUGAUGCGUGUUCUUUGCGUGCAUUUUUAUGUAACUUUUUCUUUAACAUCAUAUGUGUUGUAAAUUGCCUCCCACAACAAUAUUCAUGUUCCACAAAAUGAACACGAAAAUAAGUGCAACUAUUUUCUGCAACAUUAUUUAUGUUGCAAAAUUUGUUCCUCAACAACACCCGUGUUGUAAAAAUAAUGUAAAAACAAAUCGGCAACAUCAUCUAUGCUGCAAAAGAUUUUUGUAACGUAAGCUUUCUUGCAAGGAACUAUGCAACACUACUCUUUUAUUGCAAUGAUGAGGACAGUUCUACAUGUUGGAUAGUUAUAGAUCUAACGGCUCUCUAGGCGGUGGAUCUUAGCAUAGCCCUUUUUAUUAAAUGUUCAGUUUCAUAGAAAAUGGUGAUGUUUUCAAAAUAAUGA